UAAGAGAUAGUAUAUUUAUUAUAUAAAGCUGUUAACUUUAUGAAGUGCUUUUAAAAGCACCCUCUUAG
Molecule: transfer RNA, 68 nt
Filed under: Crassiplana albatrossi
Lineage: Eukaryota; Metazoa; Platyhelminthes; Polycladida; Callioplanidae
Description: tRNA-Asn
Source: RNAcentral